Molecule: ribosomal RNA, 565 nt
Rfam family: Bacterial large subunit ribosomal RNA
CGCCUCUUGUCACCUAUAAGAGGUACAGCCUGCCCAGUGACUCUGUUUAACGGCCGCGGUAUCCUAACCGUGCGAAGGUAGCGUAAUCACUUGUUCUUUAAAUGAGGACUAGUAUGAAUGGCAUCACGAGGGUUAUACUGUCUCCUCUCUCCGAUCAGUGAAACUAAUCUCUCCGUGAAGAAGCGGGGAUAAACAUAUAAGACGAGAAGACCCUAUGGAGCUUUAAACUAAAUUACAUUUGCUUUAUUCACAAAAAUUUAAGAAUAAUAAACUGUACCCAAGCACUCUGAUAAUAAGUUUUAGGUUGGGGUGACCGCGGAGUAAAACUUACCCUCCGCAUUGAACAAGAUUGUUUCUUUAGCUAAAAGCUACAACUUUAAGCAUCAAUAAAUUGACAUUAUUGACCCAAUAUUUUGAUCAACGAACCAAGUUACCCUAGGGAUAACAGCGCAAUCCACUUCAAGAGCCCUUAUCGACAAGUGGGUUUACGACCUCGAUGUUGGAUCAGGGUAUCCCAGUGGUGCAGCCGCUACUAAAGGUUCGUUUGUUCAACGAUUAAAACCCU